Molecule: ribosomal RNA, 221 nt
Filed under: Enoploides sp. 14 JAL-2013
Lineage: Eukaryota; Metazoa; Nematoda; Enoplea; Enoplida; Thoracostomopsidae
Description: partial 18S ribosomal RNA
Rfam family: Eukaryotic small subunit ribosomal RNA
Source: RNAcentral
GAAGGACGCAUUUAUUAGGACAAAACCAAUCGGGCUUGCCCGCUAUUUGGUGAAUCUGAAUAACUAUGCCGAUCGCACAGUCCUCGAACUGGCGACGUAUCUUUCAAAUGUCUGCCUUAUCAACUUUCGAUGGUAGUUUACACGGCUACCAUGGUUUUAACGGGUAACGGAGAAUUAGGGUUCGACUCCGGAGAGGGAGCCUGAGAAACGGCUACCACAUC